UCUCGUCCUCUGUCGUCCCCUUCUCCUUGUGCCCUCCAUCUUUCCCAACAUCAGGGUCUUUUCCAGGGAGUCUUCUCUUCUCAUGAGGUGGCCAAAGUAUUGGAGCCUCAGCUUCACAAUCUGCCCUUCCAGUGAGCACUCAGCGCUGAUUUCCUUAAGAAUGGAGAGGUCUGAUCUUCUUGCAGUCCAUGGGACUCUCAAGAGUCUCCUCCA
Non-coding RNA from Podarcis lilfordi (Lilford's wall lizard), 213 nucleotides. NCBI's taxonomy places the organism in Eukaryota, Metazoa, Chordata, Lepidosauria, Squamata, Lacertidae. The record is from the annotation of a GenBank genome assembly.